GGGUUGUGAGGUUAAGCGACUAAGCGUACACGGUGGAUGCCCUGGCAGUCAGAGGCGAUGAAGGGCGUGCUAAUCUGCGAUAAGCGCCGGUAAGGUGAUAUGAACCGUUAUAACCGGCGAUACCCGAAUGGGGAAACCCAGUGUGACUCGUCACACUAUCAUUAACUGAAUUCAUAGGUUAAUGAGGCGAACCGGGGGAACUGAAACAUCUAAGUACCCCGAGGAAAAGAAAUCAACCGAGAUUCCCCCAGUAGCGGCGAGCGAACGGGGAGGAGCCCAGAGCCUGAAUCAGCAUGUGUGUUAGUGGAAGCGUCUGGAAAGGCGCGCGAUACAGGGUGACAGCCCCGUACACAAAAGCGCAUGUGCUGUGAGCUCGAUGAGUAGGGCGGGACACGUGGUAUCCUGUCUGAAUAUGGGGGGACCAUCCUCCAAGGCUAAAUACUCCUGACUGACCGAUAGUGAACCAGUACCGUGAGGGAAAGGCGAAAAGAACCCCGGCGAGGGGAGUGAAAAAGAACCUGAAACCGUGUACGUACAAGCAGUGGGAGCCCCACCACUAAGCCAGUGGUGAACUCCACAUACGCAUCCUUUGCUGAGGAUACGGUUAACGGAGCGAAAGCGACGUUCAACCGCAAAAGAAGCAGAGGGGGCUUAGUGGUGGGGUGACUGCGUACCUUUUGUAUAAUGGGUCAGCGACUUAUAUUCUGUAGCAAGGUUAACCGAAUAGGGGAGCCGGAGGGAAACCGAGUCUUAAUUGGGCGUUAAGUUGCAGGGUAUAGACCCGAAACCCGGUGAUCUAGCCAUGGGCAGGUUGAAGGUUGGGUAACACUAACUGGAGGACCGAACCGACUAAUGUUGAAAAAUUAGCGGAUGACCUGUGGCUGGGGGUGAAAGGCCAAUCAAACCGGGAGAUAGCUGGUUCUCCCCGAAAGCUAUUUAGGUAGCGCCUCGUGAAUUCAUCUCCGGGGGUAGAGCACUGUUUCGGCUAGGGGGCCAUCCCGGCUUACCAACCCGAUGCAAACUGCGAAUACCGGAGAAUGUUAUCACGGGAGACACACGGCGGGUGCUAACGUCCGUCGUGAAGAGGGAAACAACCCAGACCGCCAGCUAAGGUCCCAAAGUCAUGGUUAAGUGGGAAACGAUGUGGGAAGGCCCAGACAGCCAGGAUGUUGGCUUAGAAGCAGCCAUCAUUUAAAGAAAGCGUAAUAGCUCACUGGUCGAGUCGGCCUGCGCGGAAGAUGUAACGGGGCUAAACCAUGCACCGAAGCUGCGGCAGCGACACUGUGUGUUGUUGGGUAGGGGAGCGUUCUGUAAGCCUGUGAAGGUGUGUCGUGAGGCAUGCUGGAGGUAUCAGAAGUGCGAAUGCUGACAUAAGUAACGAUAAAGCGGGUGAAAAGCCCGCUCGCCGGAAGACCAAGGGUUCCUGUCCAACGUUAAUCGGGGCAGGGUGAGUCGACCCCUAAGGCGAGGCCGAAAGGCGUAGUCGAUGGGAAACGGGUUAAUAUUCCCGUACUUGGUGUUACUGCGAAGGGGGGACGGAGAAGGCUAUGUUGGCCGGGCGACGGUUGUCCCGGUUUAAGCGUGUAGGUGUGUGUUCCAGGUAAAUCCGGUUCACUUUAACACUGAGGCGUGACGACGAGGCACUACGGUGCUGAAGCAACAAAUGCCCUGCUUCCAGGAAAAGCCUCUAAGCAUCAGGUAACAUCAAAUCGUACCCCAAACCGACACAGGUGGUCAGGUAGAGAAUACCAAGGCGCUUGAGAGAACUCGGGUGAAGGAACUAGGCAAAAUGGUGCCGUAACUUCGGGAGAAGGCACGCUGACACGUAGGUGAAGUGAUUUACUCAUGGAGCUGAAGUCAGUCGAAGAUACCAGCUGGCUGCAACUGUUUAUUAAAAACACAGCACUGUGCAAACACGAAAGUGGACGUAUACGGUGUGACGCCUGCCCGGUGCCGGAAGGUUAAUUGAUGGGGUCAGCGCAAGCGAAGCUCCUGAUCGAAGCCCCGGUAAACGGCGGCCGUAACUAUAACGGUCCUAAGGUAGCGAAAUUCCUUGUCGGGUAAGUUCCGACCUGCACGAAUGGCGUAAUGAUGGCCAGGCUGUCUCCACCCGAGACUCAGUGAAAUUGAACUCGCUGUGAAGAUGCAGUGUACCCGCGGCAAGACGGAAAGACCCCGUGAACCUUUACUAUAGCUUGACACUGAACAUUGAGCCUUGAUGUGUAGGAUAGGUGGGAGGCUUUGAAGUGUGGACGCCAGUCUGCAUGGAGCCGACCUUGAAAUACCACCCUUUAAUGUUUGAUGUUCUAACGUGGACCCGUUACCCGGGUUGCGGACAGUGUCUGGUGGGUAGUUUGACUGGGGCGGUCUCCUCCUAAAGAGUAACGGAGGAGCACGAAGGUUGGCUAAUCCUGGUCGGACAUCAGGAGGUUAGUGCAAUGGCAUAAGCCAGCUUGACUGCGAGCGUGACGGCGCGAGCAGGUGCGAAAGCAGGUCAUAGUGAUCCGGUGGUUCUGAAUGGAAGGGCCAUCGCUCAACGGAUAAAAGGUACUCCGGGGAUAACAGGCUGAUACCGCCCAAGAGUUCAUAUCGACGGCGGUGUUUGGCACCUCGAUGUCGGCUCAUCACAUCCUGGGGCUGAAGUAGGUCCCAAGGGUAUGGCUGUUCGCCAUUUAAAGUGGUACGCGAGCUGGGUUUAGAACGUCGUGAGACAGUUCGGUCCCUAUCUGCCGUGGGCGCUGGAGAACUGAGGGGGGCUGCUCCUAGUACGAGAGGACCGGAGUGGACGCAUCACUGGUGUUCGGGUUGUCAUGCCAAUGGCACUGCCCGGUAGCUAAAUGCGGAAGAGAUAAGUGCUGAAAGCAUCUAAGCACGAAACUUGCCCCGAGAUGAGUUCUCCCUGAGACUUAGAGUCUCCUGAAGGAACGUUGAAGACGACGACGUUGAUAGGCCGGGUGUGUAAGCGCAGCGAUGCGUUGAGCUAACCGGUACUAAUGAACCGUGAGGCUUAACCUUACAACGCCGAAG
This 3027-nucleotide ribosomal RNA is filed under the name Salmonella enterica subsp. enterica serovar Heidelberg. RNAcentral describes it as "23S ribosomal RNA". It matches the Rfam family "Bacterial large subunit ribosomal RNA". Lineage: Bacteria; Pseudomonadati; Pseudomonadota; Gammaproteobacteria; Enterobacterales; Enterobacteriaceae. The record is from RNAcentral.